AUGACGAAUGCUGAUCAAUAUUAUUUCCUCGAAAUCUAUUCAGGGUCUGAAAAUAUCCAAACGAAUCUAUGCGAAAAGAAUACAAACGCUAUUUAAAAUGUAAUAGUAGGCGUGUAAAAAAGGUGUAAACAGAGGAUUGGCAAAAUCAUGAUUUUGUUGUAACUAAAUACCAUUGAGUAUGGUUAUGUCUAAUAAUGAUCUGGUGAUAACUGUUGAAGAAAUAAGGAUGGAAUAUGCAAAAGAAGUGGAUACAGAGCAAUUUGCAAAUAAAUUUAAAAAAACAUUCAAGAAUAAUUGGCAAACUAC
Leptinotarsa decemlineata (Colorado potato beetle) is the source of this 306-nucleotide long non-coding RNA. The record is from RefSeq and is a predicted model, not a curated record. NCBI's taxonomy places the organism in Eukaryota, Metazoa, Arthropoda, Insecta, Coleoptera, Chrysomelidae.